RNAcentral lists this long non-coding RNA (376 nucleotides) under Mytilus galloprovincialis (Mediterranean mussel). The record is from RNAcentral. Lineage: Eukaryota; Metazoa; Mollusca; Bivalvia; Mytilida; Mytilidae.
CUUCUAACCAAUCAUUAACCCGAAUUCUGACAUGUGACGAAAAAGUGUAGUCGGAUUGGUGAGACAUUUUGUUGUGCGAUAAUAUCGUAUCUCAAAAGAAAAACACUUUUCACGGCAGCUGACAUUAUUACAGGUACAGUUUUAUCAAUUUUAGGUUCUCAAAGCUAAUAUAUUAGCUUAAAAAUAAUGAAAAUACAAUAUAGGUGCAGAAAUUUUUGCUCGUCUUGGUAAUUGAUUGGUUAGAAGAUCAGAUAUUUUCGCAUACAGCGGAACAUGCAUAUUAAAUUCUAAAUAAUCGAUAAAAAGAUUUCAGUUUUUACUGCCUGGUGUAAAAUUAUCAAAACCUUAGAUACGAGGUUUUUGCAUAACAGCGACG